GACAGAGGGUGCAAACGUUGCUCGGAAUUACUGGGCGUAAAGCGCGUGUAGGCGGACGUGUAAGUCAGGUGUGAAAUCCCCGGGCUCAACCCGGGAACUGCACUUGAAACUGCGCGUCUUGAGUACUGGAGAGGGUAGUGGAAUUCCUGGUGUAGAGGUGAAAUUCGUAGAUAUCAGGAGGAACACCGGUGGCGAAGGCGGCUACCUGGACAGUCACUGACGCUGAGACGCGAAAGCGUGGGGAGCAAACAGG
RNAcentral lists this ribosomal RNA (253 nucleotides) under uncultured bacterium. Its description in RNAcentral is "partial 16S ribosomal RNA". It matches the Rfam family "Bacterial small subunit ribosomal RNA", at positions 524 to 776 of the family's 1533-position model. The record is from RNAcentral.